RNAcentral lists this ribosomal RNA (2515 nucleotides) under Enterococcus faecium LCT-EF128. RNAcentral describes it as "bacterial LSU rRNA". It matches the Rfam family "Bacterial large subunit ribosomal RNA", at positions 14 to 2539 of the family's 2925-position model. Lineage: Bacteria; Bacillati; Bacillota; Bacilli; Lactobacillales; Enterococcaceae. The record is from RNAcentral.
AGGGCGCACGGUGGAUGCCUUGGCACUAGGAGCCGAUGAAGGACGGGACUAACACCGAUAUGCUUUGGGGAGCUGUACGUAAGCUAUGAUCCAGAGAUUUCCGAAUGGGGGAACCCAACAUCUUUAAUAGGAUGUUACGAUUGUGUGAAUACAUAGCACAUUCGAGGUAGACGCAGAGAACUGAAACAUCUAAGUACCUGCAGGAAGAGAAAGAAAAUUCGAUUCCCUGAGUAGCGGCGAGCGAAACGGGAAAAGCCCAAACCAGCAAGCUUGCUUGUUGGGGUUGUAGGACUCCAAUAUGGUAGUUCUUUCAGAUAGUCGAAUGACUUGGAAAAGUCAGUCAAAGAGGGUAAAAACCCCGUAGACGAAAUGUGGAAGACACCUAGGAGGAUCCUGAGUACGGCGGAACACGAGAAAUUCCGUCGGAAUCCGGGAGGACCAUCUCCCAAGGCUAAAUACUCCCUAGUGACCGAUAGUGAACCAGUACCGUGAGGGAAAGGUGAAAAGCACCCCGGAAGGGGAGUGAAAUAGAACCUGAAACCGUGUGCCUACAACAAGUCAAAGCCCGUUAAUGGGUGAUGGCGUGCCUUUUGUAGAAUGAACCGGCGAGUUACGAUUGCAUGCGAGGUUAAGUUGAAGAGACGGAGCCGCAGCGAAAGCGAGUCUGAAUAGGGCGUUUGAGUAUGUAGUCGUAGACCCGAAACCAUGUGAUCUACCCAUGUCCAGGUUGAAGGUGCGGUAAAACGCACUGGAGGACCGAACCCACGUACGUUGAAAAGUGCGGGGAUGAGGUGUGGGUAGCGGAGAAAUUCCAAACGAACUUGGAGAUAGCUGGUUCUCUCCGAAAUAGCUUUAGGGCUAGCCUCGGAAUUGAGAAUGAUGGAGGUAGAGCACUGUUUGGACUAGGGGCCCAUCUCGGGUUACCGAAUUCAGAUAAACUCCGAAUGCCAUUCAUUCAUAUCCGGGAGUCAGACUGUGAGUGAUAAGAUCCAUAGUCGAAAGGGAAACAGCCCAGACCACCAGCUAAGGUCCCAAAAUAUAUGUUAAGUGGAAAAGGAUGUGGGGUUGCACAGACAACUAGGAUGUUGGCUUAGAAGCAGCCACCAUUUAAAGAGUGCGUAAUAGCUCACUAGUCGAGUGACCCUGCGCCGAAAAUGUACCGGGGCUAAACAUAUUACCGAAGCUGUGGAGUACACCUUUAGGUGUAUUGGUAGGAGAGCGUUCUAAGGGCGUCGAAGGCAGAUCGUGAGGACUGCUGGAGCGCUUAGAAGUGAGAAUGCCGGUAUGAGUAGCGAAAGACAGGUGAGAAUCCUGUCCACCGAAUGACUAAGGUUUCCUGGGGAAGGCUCGUCCGCCCAGGGUUAGUCGGGACCUAAGCCGAGGCCGACAGGCGUAGGCGAUGGAUAACAGGUUGAUAUUCCUGUACCCGUUGUUUUUGUUUGAGCAAUGGAGGGACGCAGGAGGCUAAGGAAUGCAGACGAUCGGAAAUGUCUGUCCAAGCAGUAAGUCUGAAGAGGAGUCAAAUGCUUCUUUUCUUAAGGACAAGCUGUGAUGGGGAGGGAAAUAAUAGUACCGAAGUUCCUGAUGUCACACUGCCGAGAAAAGCUUCUAGUGAGAAAACAGCGGCCCGUACCGCAAACCGACACAGGUAGUCGAGGAGAGAAUCCUAAGGUGAGCGAGAGAACUCUCGUUAAGGAACUCGGCAAAAUGACCCCGUAACUUCGGGAGAAGGGGUGCUGAUCAUACGAUCAGCCGCAGUGAAUAGGCCCAAGCGACUGUUUAUCAAAAACACAGGUCUCUGCAAAAUCGUAAGAUGAAGUAUAGGGGCUGACGCCUGCCCGGUGCUGGAAGGUUAAGAGGAGUGCUUAGCGCAAGCGAAGGUACGAAUUGAAGCCCCAGUAAACGGCGGCCGUAACUAUAACGGUCCUAAGGUAGCGAAAUUCCUUGUCGGGUAAGUUCCGACCCGCACGAAAGGCGUAACGAUUUGGGCACUGUCUCAACGAGAGACUCGGUGAAAUUUUAGUACCUGUGAAGAUGCAGGUUACCCGCGACAGGACGGAAAGACCCCAUGGAGCUUUACUGUAGUUUGAUAUUGAGUGUCUGUACCGCAUGUACAGGAUAGGUAGGAGCCGUAGAAAUCGGAACGCUAGUUUCGAUGGAGGCGCUGGUGGGAUACUACCCCUGCGUUAUGGCCACUCUAACCCGCACCACUAAUCGUGGUGGGAGACAGUGUCAGAUGGGCAGUUUGACUGGGGCGGUCGCCUCCUAAAAGGUAACGGAGGCGCCCAAAGGUUCCCUCAGAAUGGUUGGAAAUCAUUCGAAGAGUGUAAAGGCAGAAGGGAGCUUGACUGCGAGACCAACAAGUCGAGCAGGGACGAAAGUCGGGCUUAGUGAUCCGGUGGUUCCGCAUGGAAGGGCCAUCGCUCAACGGAUAAAAGCUACCCUGGGGAUAACAGGCUUAUCUCCCCCAAGAGUCCACAUCGACGGGGAGGUUUGGCACCUCGAUGUCGGCUCG